UCCACGAACGGCAUAUCAAUGAAGAGAUAUGUGAAAAAACACCUUGAGGAUUGAUUCUAAACAACGUUUGCCAUGUUUCGAUCGAUAUUAUGGAGUUAAUUUGGAAAAAGUUUGACGUUUUGGUGACUGAAUUUUCAGUUCGUUUCGGUAGCCAAAUGUGAUGUACAAAACGGAGCGAUUUCUCCGACACAAAGAUUCUUUCAGGAAAAACUGAACAUUUGCUAUGUAACUGAGAGUCUCCUCAUUGAAAACAUCCGAAGUUCUUCAAAGUGACCGGUCGAUCAAAACACAUUCUGGAAGAAUUGCCAACUGAACGCAUUAAAGUUAGUGAGUUUAUAGGGGAAGGAUGAGCAUGAUGUGGAGGAGGAGACCAUCUCAGCAUGUUCUGAGAGGCCUUUAGAGGGAAUCUACCCUUCCUCUUUCGAGAUGUGCACCUCGGCCGGACCCACUAACUCUGCCUGACCCUAUGCUGCUGGACCC
Long non-coding RNA from Oncorhynchus masou masou (cherry salmon), 480 nucleotides. RefSeq lists it as uncharacterized. The transcript is spliced from 3 exons. The record is from RefSeq and is a predicted model, not a curated record. Lineage: Eukaryota; Metazoa; Chordata; Actinopteri; Salmoniformes; Salmonidae.